This is an unclassified non-coding RNA of Aotus nancymaae (Ma's night monkey), 290 nucleotides long. It matches the Rfam family "Metazoan signal recognition particle RNA". From Rfam's summary of the family: The signal recognition particle (SRP) is a universally conserved ribonucleoprotein. It is involved in the co-translational targeting of proteins to membranes. Lineage: Eukaryota; Metazoa; Chordata; Mammalia; Primates; Aotidae. The record is from Ensembl.
GCCGGUGCGUGCCUGUAGUCCUAGCUACUUGGGAGGCUAAGGCUGGAGGAUCGCUUGAGUCCAGGAGUUCUGGGCUGUAGUGCACUAAGCCGAUCGGGUUUCUGCAUUAAGUUCAGCAUCAAUAUGGUGACCUCCCCGGAGCGGGGGACCACCAGGUUGCCUAAGGAGGGGUGAACCAGCCCAGGUCAGAAAUGGAGCAGGUCAAAACUCCCGUGCUGAUCAGUAGUGGGAUUGCGCCUGUGACUAGCCACUGCACUCCAGCCUGGGCAACAGAGCGAGACCCUGUCUCU